RNAcentral lists this ribosomal RNA (492 nucleotides) under uncultured bacterium. RNAcentral describes it as "bacterial SSU rRNA". It matches the Rfam family "Bacterial small subunit ribosomal RNA", at positions 18 to 507 of the family's 1533-position model. The record is from RNAcentral.
CCUGGCUCAGAUUGAACGCUGGCGGCAUGCCUUACACAUGCAAGUCGAACGGCAGCGGACCUUCGGGUGCCGGCGAGUGGCGAACGGGUGAGUAAUAUAUCGGAACGUACCUUUCAGUGGGGGAUAACGUAGCGAAAGUUACGCUAAUACCGCAUAUUCUGUGAGCAGGAAAGCAGGGGGAUCGCAAGACCUUGCGCUGAUUGAGCGGCCGAUAUCAGAUUAGCUAGUUGGUGAGGUAAAGGCUCACCAAGGCGACGAUCUGUAGCGGGUCUGAGAGGAUGAUCCGCCACACUGGAACUGAGACAGGUCCAGACUCCUACGGGAGGCAGCAGUGGGGAAUUUUGGACAAUGGGCGCAAGCCUGAUCCAGCCAUGCCGCGUGAGUGAAGAAGGCCUUCGGGUUGUAAAGCUCUUUCGGCCGGGAAGAAAUCGCACAGGUUAAUACCCUGUGUGGAUGACGGUACCGGAAUAAGAAGCACCGGCUAACUACGUG